This 463-nucleotide ribosomal RNA is filed under the name uncultured bacterium. RNAcentral's name for it is "partial 16S ribosomal RNA". It matches the Rfam family "Bacterial small subunit ribosomal RNA", at positions 28 to 506 of the family's 1533-position model. The record is from RNAcentral.
GACGAAUGCUGGCGGCGUGCUUAACACAUGCAAGUCGAACGGAAAGGCCCUGCUUGCCGGGUACUCGAGUGGCGAACGGGUGAGUAACACGUGGGUGAUCUGCCCUGCACUUCGGGAUAAGCCUGGGAAACUGAGUCUAAUACCGGAUAGGAGCCAUUUUUAGUGCGAUGGUUGGAAAGUUUUUUCGGUGUAGGAUGAGCUCGCGGCCUAUCAGCUUGUUGGUGGGGUAAUGGCCUACCAAGGCGGCGACGGGUAGCCGGCCUGAGAGGGUGGACGGCCACAUUGGGACUGAGAUACAGCCCAGACUCCUACGGGAGGCAGCAGUGGGGAAUAUUGCACAAUGGGCGCAAGCCUGAUGCAGCGACGCCGCGUGGGGGAUGACGGCCUUCGGGUUGGAAACUCCUUUCGCUAGGGACGAAGCUUUUGUGACGGUACCGAGAUAAGAAGCACCGGCUAACUACGU